UUCUUCCUUGUCUUGGGGAGCAUGAAUGUCCAAUGAACGUCUAGUGAGGGCAUUUUUGCUGACACCAAACAUUUAACCCCGCAUCCACUUUAAGUGAGGUGCAAUUUUUGGGAGC
Cloeon dipterum is the source of this 115-nucleotide small nuclear RNA. RefSeq annotates it as U4atac minor spliceosomal RNA. The record is from RefSeq and is a predicted model, not a curated record. Lineage: Eukaryota; Metazoa; Arthropoda; Insecta; Ephemeroptera; Baetidae. The transcript has a single exon.